RNAcentral lists this ribosomal RNA (490 nucleotides) under uncultured bacterium. Its description in RNAcentral is "partial 16S ribosomal RNA". It matches the Rfam family "Bacterial small subunit ribosomal RNA", at positions 30 to 507 of the family's 1533-position model. The record is from RNAcentral.
AUUGAACGCUGGCGGCAUGCUUUACACAUGCAAGUCGAACGGCAGCGGGGUAGUGCUUGCACUACUGCCGGCGAGUGGCGAACGGGUGAGUAAUAUAUCGGAACGUACCGAGUAAUGGGGGAUAACCAAUCGAAAGAUUGGCUAAUACCGCAUACGUCCUGAGGGAGAAAGCGGGGGAUCGCAAGACCUCGCGUUAUUCGAGCGGCCGAUAACUGAUUAGCUAGUUGGUGGGGUAAAGGCCUACCAAGGCGACGAUCAGUAGCGGGUCUGAGAGGACGAUCCGCCACACUGGGACUGAGACACGGACCAGACUCCUACGGGAGGCAGCAGUGGGGAAUUUUGGACAAUGGGGGCAACCCUGAUCCAGCCAUGCCGCGUGUAUGAAGAAGGCCUUCGGGUUGUAAAGUACUUUUGUUAGGGAAGAAAAGGGAAGUGCUAAUACCACUUUUUGCUGACGGUACCUAAAGAAUAAGCACCGGCUAACUACGUG